This 1035-nucleotide long non-coding RNA is filed under the name Capsicum annuum. RNAcentral describes it as "long non-coding RNA (CANN_LNC019081)". Lineage: Eukaryota; Viridiplantae; Streptophyta; Magnoliopsida; Solanales; Solanaceae. The record is from RNAcentral.
AGCAACCACUUUCUUGGAGGAAAGGUUUUGUACAUGUAUAAAUAGAAAACUCCUUCUCAUACCAUAACACAGUAGCAUCCACAAUGUAGUCUUUUAAGAGUUUCAUUUAGAGGGAGAUUUUCUCUCUCAUUAGUUUUAUGUUUUUUAAUAUUAUUUUUACUAUUAGGUUUUAUAUGUAAGUCAAUUGGCCAAAUCAUAUCAUAAAAUUAUGUUUUUAGUAUUUUUUUCGUUGUCGUCUUAUUUAUCGUCUCAUAGUUUGCAACUAAUAGCUUCCGCAUGACGCCCUCUCGAUUUCAAAUCCAACAAUAAUAAGAAGGAGAUGAGAUACUAGACACAGAAUGGAGAUGAGAGAACAACAGACAAGUCAAGGCUUCACAUAAUACGCAUAAUGUUCUGUUGAAUGUCAAGUCCUAUUUAACCAAUUGACAAUUGGGCCUGAAUCUCAAAUAAAACCCUCCAACAUUUCAAUAGGUCCAAUAAUCUCAACUUGAUCAGCCCAAUUCACCACUUCUAACCCAUAUCCCAAUACAAAGUCGACUUGGUUCACAACAUUUACUCUGUUCUAUAAACAUGCAACAUUUUCUUAUGCUAUCUCUAUAUAAGUUUGGUAAGAUUGCUUGUGAGAUUUCACUGGUAUGUUGUUGAUAUGUUGUUGAUGUUGUUUUUGUCAUAUAUCUCUCUAUAAAAACUAUCUGACGUAAUAAAGAAAUCACGUUGUGCAUGUAAGAAGAUAGAGCUUCAAAUUUAUUUUCUUUUAGCCUUUGUCCUUUUAUUGAAAAAAAAAAGAUUAUUCUAUUGUAAGAAGACAAUCUAGAUUUGCUAUUGUUUUUAAUUGUUCUAUCAUUCUUCCUUUCCCACCCUUUGUAAAUUUAUGCAAUUCCUCAAAUUAGUAAAGUUUUGUAUAGGUAUUAAAUUUUUAAUUAUUUUUUGUAAAGCUAUUAUUUAUUGUGCUCCUAUUUCUUAAUUGUAUAUAUGUAUAUGAAUGUUUCUGAUCAAUAGGGCAUGAAGAGGAGUGGAAGUUUGAUUUAGAGGCGG